GGCAACACAGAAGACCUGUAUACCUCUCACCAAUCACUGAAGACUUCAUGUUUGUGCUGACAUAAUAUCAAAUUUACUGGGUCCGUGGAUAUGUCAGUGAAAGAGAUUCACAAUGUGAGAAGAAAAGUGCCUACUUGCUGUGGAGGAUAUGAUGACAUUUGCUUACUUUGGAGCUGAUCAGGACUGCUUAUAGGCAGAAGUAAAGCUCUUUAGAGCUGGUGAGUGUGACGAUGAGCCUUCCACGGAAGCAUGAACUUCAGAUGAGCUCCUUGGGGGCAUCAGGGAUAGAACUGAGCUGCUAUUACCAGGCAAACACUGGAUACUGUAGUUGAGGUCACUGGAGCUGUGGGAUUUCUCCUCCAGCACCACGCACUGUGUGGUUUCAAGUCCCUGCAGAGUCUGUUAGGGAGCAUCCAUUUUUCUGCAAGUGCAUGCUGUAAACUGUGCUCGCUUGUCAGAGUGGUGAAGGACGGCAUCCAGAUCAUCUCUGUAAGCUGAACUGUCAUGUUAAACUGCAGCAGAAGAAAAAUGACAAACUCCUGCUGAAGCUGGUGGCUGAGGAUUGCGAAACCUGCCCCUUUCUCGUUGUGUGUUCUGCUCUUGGCCGACCUGAGGGCCUGGAGAAGUUCAGCAGUUCAGUGAAGCACACAGCAACCCCCUCCCCACAAGGGCAAUGCACUGCCCACAUGAAACUGUGAUUGUGAUUAAAACAGAAAAGUGGUAGCUGG
Molecule: long non-coding RNA, 728 nt
Organism: Onychostruthus taczanowskii (white-rumped snowfinch)
Lineage: Eukaryota; Metazoa; Chordata; Aves; Passeriformes; Passeridae
Exons: 6
Source: RefSeq, a predicted model, not a curated record